This 443-nucleotide ribosomal RNA is filed under the name uncultured bacterium. Its description in RNAcentral is "partial 16S ribosomal RNA". It matches the Rfam family "Bacterial small subunit ribosomal RNA", at positions 338 to 795 of the family's 1533-position model. The record is from RNAcentral.
CCUACGGGAGGCAGCAGUGGGGAAUAUUGGGCAAUGGGCGCAAGCCUGACCCAGCAACGCCGCGUGAAGGAAGAAGGCUUUCGGGUUGUAAACUUCUUUUGUCAGGGACGAAGCAAGUGACGGUACCUGACGAAUAAGCCACGGCUAACUACGUGCCAGCAGCCGCGGUACUACGUAGGUGGCAAGCGUUAUACGGAUUUGCUGGGUGUAAAGGGCGUGUAGGCGGGACUGCAAGUCAGAUGUGAAAGCCACGGGCUCAACCUGUGAACGGCAUUCGAUACUGUUGUUCUUGAGUGCUGGAGAGGCAGGUGGAAGUCCGAGUGUAGCGGUGAAAUGCGUAGAUAUUAGGAGGAACACCAGUGGCGAAGGCGGUCUGCUGGAAAGCAACUGACGCUGAGGCGCGAAAGCGUGGGGAGCAAACAGGAUUAGAUACCCUUGUAGUC